CACGUAGGCGGUCAGGUCAGUCUGGCGUGAAAGCCCCCGGCUCAACCGGGGAAUUGCGCUGGAUACUGCCUGACUCGAGGACGGUUGGGGUGAGUGGAACUCCUGGUGGAGCGGUGAAAUGCGUAGAUAUCAGGAGGAACACCAGUGGCGAAAGCGGCUCACUGGACCGUAACUGACGCUGAGGUGCGAAAGCUAGGGUAGCGAACG
Molecule: ribosomal RNA, 207 nt
Filed under: uncultured bacterium
Lineage: Bacteria
Description: partial 16S ribosomal RNA
Rfam family: Bacterial small subunit ribosomal RNA
Source: RNAcentral